This 529-nucleotide ribosomal RNA is filed under the name uncultured bacterium. RNAcentral's name for it is "bacterial SSU rRNA". It matches the Rfam family "Bacterial small subunit ribosomal RNA", at positions 777 to 1304 of the family's 1533-position model. The record is from RNAcentral.
AAUAGAUACCCAGGUAGUCCAUGCCGUAAACGUUGGGCACUAGGUGUGGGGCUCAUUCCACGAGUUCCGUGCCGCAGCAAACGCAUUAAGUGCCCCGCCUGGGGAGUACGGCCGCAAGGCUAAAACUCAAAGGAAUUGACGGGGGCCCGCACAAGCGGCGGAGCAUGCGGAUUAAUUCGAUGCAACGCGAAGAACCUUACCAAGGCUUGACAUGCACGGGAAGCCACCAGAGAUGGUGGUCUCUUUGGACACUCGUGCACAGGUGGUGCAUGGUUGUCGUCAGCUCGUGUCGUGAGAUGUUGGGUUAAGUCCCGCAACGAGCGCAACCCUCGUCCCAUGUUGCCAGCGGGUUAUGCCGGGGACUCAUGGGAGACUGCCGGGGUCAACUCGGAGGAAGGUGGGGAUGACGUCAAAUCAUCAUGCCCCUUAUGUCUUGGGCUUCACGCAUGCUACAAUGGCCGGUACAAAGGGCUGCGAUACCGUAAGGUGGAGCGAAUCCCAAAAAGCCGGUCUCAGUUCGGAUUGGGGU